Molecule: ribosomal RNA, 377 nt
Filed under: uncultured eukaryote
Lineage: Eukaryota
Description: partial 18S ribosomal RNA
Rfam family: Eukaryotic small subunit ribosomal RNA
Source: RNAcentral
CAAUAGCGUAUAUUUAAGUUGCUGCAGUUAAAAAGCUCGUAGUUGGAUUUCGGGUGGGAAUGGCCGGUCCGCCGUUUCGGUGUGCACUUGCUACGCCCACCUUGCUGCCGGGGACGUGCUCUUGAGUUCACGCUCGGGACACGGAGUCGGCGAGGUUACUUUGAGUAAAUUAGAGUGUUCAAAGCAGGCCUACGCUGUGAAUACAUUAGCAUGGAAUAACACGAUAGGACUCUGGCCUAUCUUGUUGGUCUGUAGGACCGGAGUAAUGAUUAAGAGGGACAGUCGGGGGCAUUCGUAUUUCAUUGUCAGAGGUGAAAUUCUUGGAUUUAUGAAAGACGAACUACUGCGAAAGCAUUUGCCAAGGAUGUUUUCAUUAA